RNAcentral lists this ribosomal RNA (350 nucleotides) under uncultured bacterium. RNAcentral's name for it is "bacterial SSU rRNA". It matches the Rfam family "Bacterial small subunit ribosomal RNA", at positions 917 to 1264 of the family's 1533-position model. The record is from RNAcentral.
GGACCCGCACAAGUAGUGGAGCAUGUGGUUUAAUUCGAAGAUACGCGCAGAACCUUACCAACACUUGACAUGUUCGUCGCGACUCUGAGAGAUUAGAGUUUUCGGUUCGGCCGGACGAAACACAGGUGCUGCAUGGCUGUCGUCAGCUCGUGUCGUGAGAUGUUGGGUUAAGUCCCGCAACGAGCGCAACCCUCACUUUUAGUUGCCAUCAUUUAGUUGGGCACUCUGAAAGAACUGCCAGUGAUAAGCUGGAGGAAGGUGGGGAUGACGUCAAGUCCUCAUGGCCCUUACGUGUUGGGCUACACACGUGCUACAAUGCUACGGACAAAGGGCACAAGUUUCGCGAGGAC